This is a transfer RNA of 84 nucleotides. It matches the Rfam family "tRNA". Rfam says of the family: Transfer RNA (tRNA) molecules are approximately 80 nucleotides in length. Their secondary structure includes four short double-helical elements and three loops (D, anti-codon, and T loops).
GCAGGGGUAGCCAAGCGGUCAACGGCGGUAGGCUCAAGACCUACUGGCAUAGUGCCUUCGCAGGUUCGAAUCCUGCCCCCUGCA